GGGUUGUAAACGUCUUUUAUGUAGGAAGAAAUUUUGAUAGUUGUAUCUGUUUGACGGUACUACACGAAAAAGGACCGGCUAACUCCGUGCCAGCACCCGCGGUAAUCCGGAGGGUCCAAGCGUUAUCCGGAUUCAUUGGGUUUAAAGGGUUCGUAGGCGGAUCAAUAAUUCAGUGGUGAAAGCCCGAAGCUCAACUUCGGAACUGCCAUUGAUACUGUUGAUCUUGAAUUUGGUUGAAGUGGGCGGAAUAUGACAUGUACCGGUGAAAUGCAUAGAUAUGUCAUGGAACACCAAUGGUGAAGACAGCUCACUAAGCCAAUAUUGACCCUGAUGAACGAAAGCAUGGGUAGCGAACAGGAUUAAAUACCCUGGUAGUCCAUGCCGUAAACGAUGAUUACUAGCUAUUAGCGAUACAUUGUUAGUGGCACAGCGAAGGCGUUAAGUAAUCCACCUGGGAAGUACGGUCGCAAGAUUGAAACUCAAAGGAAUUGAC
RNAcentral lists this ribosomal RNA (493 nucleotides) under uncultured marine bacterium. RNAcentral's name for it is "bacterial SSU rRNA". It matches the Rfam family "Bacterial small subunit ribosomal RNA", at positions 420 to 914 of the family's 1533-position model. The record is from RNAcentral.